RNAcentral lists this ribosomal RNA (405 nucleotides) under Providencia rettgeri. Its description in RNAcentral is "bacterial SSU rRNA". It matches the Rfam family "Bacterial small subunit ribosomal RNA", at positions 340 to 738 of the family's 1533-position model. The record is from RNAcentral. Lineage: Bacteria; Pseudomonadati; Pseudomonadota; Gammaproteobacteria; Enterobacterales; Morganellaceae. RNAcentral also lists the same sequence under 1 other name.
UACGGGGGGCNGCAGUGGGGAAUAUUGCACAAUGGGCGCAAGCCUGAUGCAGCCAUGCCGCGUGUAUGAAGAAGGCCCUAGGGUUGUAAAGUACUUUCAGUCGGGAGGAAGGCGUUGAUGCUAAUAUCAUCAACGAUUGACGUUACCGACAGAAGAAGCACCGGCUAACUCCGUGCCAGCAGCCGCGGUAAUACGGAGGGUGCAAGCGUUAAUCGGAAUUACUGGGCGUAAAGCGCACGCAGGCGGUUGAUUAAGUUAGAUGUGAAAUCCCCGGGCUUAACCUGGGAAUGGCAUCUAAGACUGGUCAGCUAGAGUCUUGUAGAGGGGGGUAGAAUUCCAUGUGUAGCGGUGAAAUGCGUAGAGAUGUGGAGGAAUACCGGUGGCGAAGGCGGCCCCCUGACAAAG